Molecule: ribosomal RNA, 1040 nt
Filed under: Corallococcus exiguus
Lineage: Bacteria; Pseudomonadati; Myxococcota; Myxococcia; Myxococcales; Myxococcaceae
Description: bacterial SSU rRNA
Rfam family: Bacterial small subunit ribosomal RNA
Source: RNAcentral
UAGAGUUUGUUCAUGGCUCAGAACGAACGCUGGCGGCGUGCCUAACACAUGCAAGUCGAGCGCGAAUAGGGGCAACCCUUAGUAGAGCGGCGCACGGGUGCGUAACACGUGGAUAAUCUGCCUGGAUGCCUGGGAUAACCAGUCGAAAGAUUGGCUAAUACCGGAUAAGCCCACGGUUUCUUCGGAGACUGAGGGAAAAGGUGGCCUCUGUAUACAAGCUAUCACAACCAGAUGAGUCCGCGGCCCAUCAGCUAGUUGGCGGGGUAAUGGCCCACCAAGGCGACGACGGGUAGCUGGUCUGAGAGGACGAUCAGCCACACUGGAACUGAGACACGGUCCAGACUCCUACGGGAGGCAGCAGUGGGGAAUUUUGCGCAAUGGGCGAAAGCCUGACGCAGCAACGCCGCGUGUGUGAUGAAGGUCUUUGGAUUGUAAAGCACUUUCGACCGGGACGAAACCGUAAAGCCUAAUACGCUUUGCCUUGACGGUACCGGGAGAAGAAGCACCGGCUAACUCUGUGCCAGCAGCCGCGGUAAUACAGAGGGUGCAAGCGUUGUUCGGAAUUAUUGGGCGUAAAGCGCGUGUAGGCGGCUUUGCAAGUCGGGUGUGAAAGCCCUCAGCUCAACUGAGGAAGUGCGCCCGAAACUGCAGAGCUUGAGUGCCGGAGAGGGUGGCGGAAUUCCCCAAGUAGAGGUGAAAUUCGUAGAUAUGGGGAGGAACACCGGUGGCGAAGGCGGCCACCUGGACGGUAACUGACGCUGAGACGCGAAAGCGUGGGUAGCAAACAGGAUUAGAUACCCUGGUAGUCCACGCCGUAAACGAUGAGAACUAGGUGUCGUGGGAGUUGACCCCCGCGGUGCCGUAGCUAACGCAUUAAGUUCUCCGCCUGGGAAGUACGGUCGCAAGACUAAAACUCAAAGGAAUUGACGGGGGCCCGCACAAGCGGUGGAGCAUGUGGUUUUAAUUCGACGCAACGCGCAGACCUUACCUGGUCUUGACUUCCUCGGAAUCCUUCAGAGAUGAGGGAGUGCCCGCAAGGG